GGGUGUUUGGCAGAACGGCUAUGCAACUGGCUUUUAACCAGUCUGACACAGGUUCAACUCCUGUAGCACCCACCA
Molecule: transfer RNA, 75 nt
Filed under: Leptolyngbya sp.
Lineage: Bacteria; Bacillati; Cyanobacteriota; Cyanophyceae; Leptolyngbyales; Leptolyngbyaceae
Also listed under: 1 other name
Description: tRNA-Lys
Rfam family: tRNA
About the family: Transfer RNA (tRNA) molecules are approximately 80 nucleotides in length. Their secondary structure includes four short double-helical elements and three loops (D, anti-codon, and T loops).
Source: RNAcentral